CCUACGGGGGGCAGCAGUGGGGAAUAUUGCGCAAUGGGCGAAAGCCUGACGCAGCGACGCCGCGUGAGGGAUGAAGGUCUUCGGAUCGUAAACCUCUGUCAGCAGGGAAGAACGGUCACUGUGCUAAUCAGCAGUGAAUUGACGGUACCUGCAAAGGAAGCACCGGCUAACUCCGUGCCAGCAGCCGCGGUAAUACGGAGGGUGCGAGCGUUAAUCGGAAUUACUGGGCGUAAAGCGGUCGUAGGCGGUAUGUCAAGUCAAGGGUGAAAUCCCCGCGCUCAACGUGGGAACUGCCUUGGAAACGGGCAAGCUGGAGUGUGUGGGAGGAUAGGGGAAUUCCAGGUGUAGGAGUGAAUUC
This 358-nucleotide ribosomal RNA is filed under the name uncultured bacterium. Its description in RNAcentral is "partial 16S ribosomal RNA". It matches the Rfam family "Bacterial small subunit ribosomal RNA", at positions 338 to 688 of the family's 1533-position model. The record is from RNAcentral.